Molecule: ribosomal RNA, 476 nt
Filed under: uncultured bacterium
Lineage: Bacteria
Description: bacterial SSU rRNA
Rfam family: Bacterial small subunit ribosomal RNA
Source: RNAcentral
UCAGGGACGAACGCUGGCGGCGUGCUUCAUACAUGCAAGUCGAACGAGAAAUUCACUUCGGUGGAUGGAAAGUGGCGGACGGGUGAGUAAUGUGUAGAGAAUCUGCCCUAGAGUGGGGGACAACAGUUGGAAACGACUGCUAAUACCCCAUAUGCGCGUAGUUGAGAUACUAUUCGUGAAAACUCCGGUGCUCUGGGAUGAGUCUGCAUCUGAUUAGCUAGUUGGGGGUGUAAUGGACCACCAAGGCGACGAUCAGUAGCUGGUUUGAGAGGAUGAUCAGCCACAAUGGGACUGAGACACGGCCCAUACUCCUACGGGAGGCAGCAGUAGGGAAUUUUGCGCAAUGGGGGAAACCCUGAACCGCAGCAACGCCGCGUGACCGAUUAAGCCCUUCGGGGUGUAAAGGUCUGUCAGUGGGGACGAAACCUGACGGUACCCACAGAGGAAGCAUCGGCUAACUCCGUGCCAGCAGCUGC